GAGACGUCCAGUGCAGGACUCUGCAAGAACCCUCUGUAAUUCGGUGACACCCACUCCUCAGGGCAGAGCAAAGGGUGACACUGCUUGAGAAGUGCUGGUGCUAGAUCAGGGCAGGGAAGGAACAUAUAAGCCAAGCAACAUCCACAGCUGCUCCCAAAGAAUGGACUUCACACUCAGAAGAAAAGACGUCUGGGUUGUAGGUAGCGUGUGCCUUCUCUCGUCUUCAGUUCUCUGGUGCUUGAUCCGGUUCGUGAUGACCCGGGGAGGCCACUGGCAGACUCCUGCUCUUGAGGACGUGCAGCAACUUGGGAAACCUUCUAUUUGUCCUUGUAUUGGGAAAAGUUUCUGCCAGAACCAAGAACCACUGUCCGUAAGUGGAGGGAAGUUCAGACUGAAGAAAGAGGCAAAACCACUUUAGGUUGAGUCUUGCUCUGUCACCCAGGCUGGAGUGCGGUGGUGUGAUCUUGGCUCACUGCAACCUCUGCCCCCCAAGUUCAAGCGAUUCUCCUGCCUUGGCCUCCCGAGUAGCUGGGACUACAGAUGGAAUCUUGCUGUGUCUCCAGGCUGGAGUGUAGUGGCGCGAUCUCGGCUCACUGCAACCUCUGCCUCCCGGGUUCAAGCAAUUCUCCUGCCUCAGCCUCCCGAGUAGCUGGGACUACAGGUGCCAGCCAUCACGCCCGGCUAAUUUUUUGUAUUUUUAGUAGAGAUGGGGUUUCACCAUGUUGGCCAGGAUGGUCUCGAUCUCCUGACCUCGUGAUCUACCCGCCUCAGCCUCCCAAAGUGCUGGGAUUAUAGGCGUGAGCCACCGCGCCCAGCCUAGUCUCUGCUUUUUUAAAAAAAAUGUUAGGACAGUGGUCCCUAAACUUGUCUGUGUAUUAGAAUCACCUGGGAAAUCUUUAAAAAUUCUAAGGACCAGGUAAAUUAAAUUAUAAUCUCUGGGAAUAGGACUGAUUUUUGUAUUUUUAGUAGAGACGGGGUUUUGCCAUGUUCACCAGGCUGGUCUCGAACUCCUGACCUCAGGUGAUCCACCCGCCUCAGCCUCCCAAAGUGUUGGGAUUACAGGUGUGAGCCACCACAUCCAGCCCAGACUAAUUUUUCUGAUGACAAAUGCUGCUUGUUGAUGUGAAUUCUGAUAUGGCACACACUUGAGCCUCACUUUGUUAGCUAUUAAUUUGUGUUACUGAAUUUACAGGCCUGGAAUACAAUUUGUGCUUCUUUUUAAAUAAAUUUCAUACUUUUUUUUUAAUGGACUUGUAAUCUACCUGAACUUGAAUUUGUU
RNAcentral lists this long non-coding RNA (1279 nucleotides) under Homo sapiens (human). RNAcentral describes it as "HSALNT0331746". The record is from RNAcentral. Lineage: Eukaryota; Metazoa; Chordata; Mammalia; Primates; Hominidae.